RNAcentral lists this ribosomal RNA (260 nucleotides) under uncultured prokaryote. RNAcentral's name for it is "partial 16S ribosomal RNA". It matches the Rfam family "Bacterial small subunit ribosomal RNA", at positions 524 to 784 of the family's 1533-position model. The record is from RNAcentral.
UACGUAGGGGCAAGCGUUGUCCGGAAUUACUGGGCGUAAAGCGCACGCAGGCGGAAUUGUAAGUCCGUUGUAAAAUUCAGAGGCUCAACCUCUGCCUGUCGGCGGAUACUGCAAAUCUAGAGUAUGUGAGAGGGAAGUGGAAUUCCUGGUGUAGCGGUGAAAUGCGUAGAUAUCAGGAGGAACUCCGGUGGCAAAGGCGACUUCCUGGCACAAGACUGACGCUCAUGUGCGAAAGCUAGGGUAGCGAACGGGAUUAGAUA